RNAcentral lists this ribosomal RNA (497 nucleotides) under uncultured bacterium. Its description in RNAcentral is "partial 16S ribosomal RNA". It matches the Rfam family "Bacterial small subunit ribosomal RNA", at positions 28 to 507 of the family's 1533-position model. The record is from RNAcentral.
GAUGAACGCUGGCGGCGUGCCUAAUACAUGCAAGUCGAGUGAACAGACGAGGAGCUUGCUCCUCUGACGUUAGCGGCGGACGGGUGAGUAACACGUGGAUAACCUACCUAUAAGACUGGGAUAACUUCGGGAAACCGGAGCUAAUACCGGAUAAUAUAUUGAACCGCAUGGUUCGAUAGUGAAAGACGGUUUUGCUGUCACUUAUAGAUGGAUCCGCGCCGCAUUAGCUAGUUGGUAAGGUAACGGCUUACCAAGGCGACGAUGCGUGGCCGACCUGAGAGGGUGAUCGGCCACACUGACACUGAGGCACGGUCCAGACUCCUACGGUAAGAAGCAGUAGGGAAUCUUCCGCAAUGGGCGAAAGCCUGACGGAGCAACGCCGCGUGAGUGAUGAAGGUCUUCGGAUCGUAAAAAUCUGUUAUUAGGGAAGAACAAAUGUGUAGGUAACUAUGCACGUCUUGACGGUACCUAAUCAGAAAGCCACGGCUAACUACGUG